Molecule: Y RNA, 102 nt
Filed under: Cebus imitator (Panamanian white-faced capuchin)
Lineage: Eukaryota; Metazoa; Chordata; Mammalia; Primates; Cebidae
Description: Y RNA (ENSCCAG00000010264.1)
Rfam family: Y RNA
About the family: Y RNAs are components of the Ro ribonucleoprotein particle (Ro RNP), in association with Ro60 and La proteins. The Y RNAs and Ro60 and La proteins are well conserved, but the function of the Ro RNP is not known.
Source: Rfam by way of RNAcentral
GGCUGGUCUGAGUGCAAUGGUGUUUACAACAAAUUGAUCACAGCCAGUUAUAGAUUUCUUUGUUCCUUCUCCGCUCCCUCUGUUUCCCUUGACUAGCCUUAC